GAUCAAGCUACAAAGGGCGCACGGUGAAUGCCCUGGCACUAGGAGCCGAUGAAGGACGUGAUAAGCUGCGAUAAGCUUCGAGUAGGUGCAAAUAACCUGUGAUUCGAAGAUGUCCGAAUGGGGAAACCCGGCAGGCUAACGCCUGUCACUAUAUGCUGAAUACAUAGGUAUAUAGAGGUAGACUCGGGGAACUGAAACAUCUAAGUACCCGAAGGAAGAGAAAGAAAAAUCGAUUUCCUGAGUAGCGGCGAGCGAAACGGAAAGAGCCCAAACCAGGAACUUGUUCCUGGGGUUGAGGAUAGAACAUAACGCUUUGAUUUUCUUAGCCAAAUAUAACUGGAAAGUUAAGCCACAGAAGGUAAUAGCCCUGUAGGCGAAAAGAAAAGAAGAGUAGUUCUACUCCAGAGUACCACGAGACACGAGAAACCUUGUGGGAAGCAGGGAGGACCAUCUCCCAAGGCUAAAUACUACCUAGUGACCGAUAGUGAAGCAGUACCGUGAGGGAAAGGUGAAAAGAACCCCGGAAGGGGAGUGAAAUAGAACCUGAAACCGUGUGCCUACAAACGGUCGGAGCACUUUAUAUGUGUGACGGCGUGCUUUUUGUAGAACGAGCCAGCGAGUUACGAUAUACAGCAAGGUUAAGCACUUAAGGUGUGGAGCCGAAGGGAAACCGAGUCUGAAUAGGGCAACUAGUUGUAUGUCGUAGACCCGAAACCGAGUGACCUAUCCAUGGCCAGGUUGAAGCGAAAGUAAAAUUUCGUGGAGGACCGAACCACGUUGGUGUUGAAAAACCAUGGGAUGAGCUGUGGAUAGCGGAGAAAUUCCAAUCGAACUCGGAGAUAGCUGGUUCUCCUCGAAAUAGCUUUAGGGCUAGCGUCGGGUAAUUAAGUAGUGGAGGUAGAGCACUGAAUGGGCUAGGGGGCAUAGCGCUUACCGAACCCUAUCAAACUCCGAAUGCCAUAUACUUGUAUCCCGGCAGUCAGGCUGCGAGUGAUAAGAUCCGUGGCCAAAAGGGAAACAGCCCAGACCAUCAGCUAAGGUCCCAAAGUGUAAGUUAAGUGGGAAAGGAUGUGGGAUUUCUAAGACAACUAGGAUGUUGGCUUAGAAGCAGCCACUCAUUUAAAGAGUGCGUAAUAGCUCACUAGUCGAGAGAUCCUGCGCCGAAGAUGUACCGGGGCUAAAACUUACCACCGAAGCUAUGGAUGUACACUACGUGUACGUGGUAGAGGAGCUUUCUACACAGGCUGAAGCCAUACCGUAAGGAGUGGUGGACAGUGUAGAAGUGAGAAUGCUGGCAUAAGUAGCGAGAAACAGGUGAGAAUCCUGUUGGCCGAAUAUCUAAGGUUUCCUGGGGAAGGCUCGUCCUCCCAGGGUUAGUCGGGACCUAAGCCGAGGCCGAAAGGCGUAGGUGAUGGACAACUGGUUGAUAUUCCAGUACCACCAAUAUGCGUUUGACAGAUGGGAUGACGCAGGAGGAUAGGAUGUGCACACUAUUGGAUGUGUGUUCAAGCACUUAGGAGGACUAGACAGGAAAAUCCGUUUAGUCAUAACUCUGAGGUGUGAUGAGGAGCCAAUUGAGGCGAAGUAUCUGAUUCCACGCUGCCAAGAAAAGUCUCUAUGGAGUAUGUUGGUGCCCGUACCGCAAACCGACACAGGUAGAUGAGGAGAGAAUCCUAAGGCCGGCGGAAGAAUUACUGCUAAGGAACUCGGCAAAUUGACCCCGUAACUUAGGGAGAAGGGGUGCCUACGAGAGUAGGCCGCAGUGAACAGGCCCAAGCAACUGUUUAUCAAAAACACAGGUCUCUGCUAAAGCGUAAGCUGAUGUAUAGGGGCUGACGCCUGCCCGGUGCUGGAAGGUUAAGGGGAAUGGUUAGUCUUCGGGCGAAGCCAAGAACUUAAGCCCCAGUAAACGGCGGCCGUAACUAUAACGGUCCUAAGGUAGCGAAAUUCCUUGUCGGGUAAGUUCCGACCCGCACGAAUGGCGUAAUGAUUUGGGCACUGUCUCGGCAGUAAAUCCGGUGAAAUUGAAGUGUGAGUGAAGAUGCUCACUACCCGCGGUUGGACGGAAAGACCCCGUAGAGCUUUACUGUAGCUUAGCAUUGAAUUUCGGUAUUGUCUGUACAGGAUAGGUGGGAGACUGAGAAUCAGGGGCGUCAGCUUCUGAGGAGUCGACCUUGGGAUACCACCCUGACAGUAUUGGAAUUCUAACUGGCGGCCAUGAAUCUGGUCACAGGACAUUGCUAGGUGGGCAGUUUGACUGGGGCGGUCGCCUCCUAAAAGGUAACGGAGGCGCCCAAAGGUUCCCUCAGCGCGGUCGGAAAUCGCGCGAAGAGUGUAAAGGCAGAAGGGAGCCUGACUGCGAGACAUACAGGUCGAGCAGGGACGAAAGUCGGGCUUAGUGAUCCGGUGGUUCUGAAUGGAAGGGCCAUCGCUCAACGGAUAAAAGCUACCUCGGGGAUAACAGGCUGAUCUCCCCAAGAGUCCACAUCGACGGGGAGGUUUGGCACCUCGAUGUCGGCUCGUCGCAUCCUGGGGCUGUAGUCGGUCCCAAGGGUUGGGCUGUUCGCCCAUUAAAGCGGCACGCGAGCUGGGUUCAGAACGUCGUGAGACAGUUCGGUCCCUAUCCGCCGUGGGCGCAGGAAAUUUGAGAGGAGCUGUCCUUAGUACGAGAGGACCGGGAUGGACCAACCUCUGGUGCACCAGUUGUCACGCCAGUGGCACAGCUGGGUAGCUAUGUUGGGAAGGGAUAAACGCUGAAAGCAUCUAAGCGUGAAGCCCACCUCAAGAUUAGAUUUCCCAUAGCGUAAGCUAGUAAGACCCCUGGAAGACUACCAGGUUGAUAGGUCAGAGGUGUAAGCGUGGUAACAUGUUAAGCUGACUGAUACUAAUAGGUCGAGGGCUUGAUCAA
This 2908-nucleotide ribosomal RNA is filed under the name Clostridium sp. MB40-C1. RNAcentral's name for it is "23S ribosomal RNA". It matches the Rfam family "Bacterial large subunit ribosomal RNA". The record is from RNAcentral. Lineage: Bacteria; Bacillati; Bacillota; Clostridia; Eubacteriales; Clostridiaceae.